This is a long non-coding RNA of Onychostruthus taczanowskii (white-rumped snowfinch), 1571 nucleotides long. RefSeq lists it as uncharacterized. The transcript has 2 exons. The record is from RefSeq and is a predicted model, not a curated record. NCBI's taxonomy places the organism in Eukaryota, Metazoa, Chordata, Aves, Passeriformes, Passeridae.
AGAGCAAGUGAGGCCUUUGGAGUUCAUCUGCAAACCUGGAACACAGUGCAGGAGAAGAGGUGCUGAGUUGUACAUGAUCACUCGUACUGAAAGCCAGCAUGCCUCGCUCUCCCUUUGGUUUUGCUGGGAAAGAGCACUGGUACAGGAAAUUAGAUGGGAAGGAAGAAGAAAAUGGUCUCUCGCCUGGCCAGUUUGUUGCAGCAGAGUUGGGAACAGUGUAUGUUGUCCCUCUUGUCAUGCUUGUUUUCUGUCCCCUAGAGCAGCUGUCCGUCUCUGGUAAGCUUGCGGGGUGAAUUCUUUCUGUGUUCUUGGCUCCUUCAGCCACCCUUGCACUGUGUCUGUGGGGAAAUGGGCAUUUCGUCCUGUAUUUGAGUUGAGCUGGAGGAGGCAAUGCGUGUACCCAAAAUACGUUUUGCAGGAAGCCAUCCCUUGGCUGUGAAGUACUCCUUUGUAGCAGCCAAACAUUCCAGUUGUCCUUGGGGCUCUCCCCUCCUCACUAAGGGAUGGAUGCUGACAUUACACAAGAAGGAAGGCCAGGCUUCACAUCUUCCCCUAUCUGCAACACCAGAUAAUGCUGCUUGCUCCUUGACCCCCCUGUGCAUUUCGAGCUCUGUGCUGCUGCUGUGGUUUUCCUCUGGAGAGCACUCGCACGUCUGAGGCACUCCAAGCAUAUGCUGAGUCCUCUUCCCACUGGUUGAAAUGCAACAAUUCUUACAGGUCUGGUCAGCGUUUUCCUUGCUUCAGUGUAAGGGGGAUAUAAAGGCAGCAAGUUACGGACUUCAUGGCUAAUCUUACUAGUAUCUGCAUGGGAGGCUUUGGAACUGGGAGACACUGGAUGUCUGUUUUUUCAAGUGAAUGUAUUUUGAGUCAAAAAAUGACAAACAAUAGUGGCCAUAAUGGGCCUGAAGGGGGAGGAGACAUGGAAAGGUCCUAAAAGUCGACUUUGUCCAGGUCUUGAUGGCACAAAAUAUGGCCUUGAACAACUUACUGAAGCAAUAGCAGUGAGGGGACUGUCUUUACAGUACCUUGGAUCUAUAAUUCAGAAGAUACUGAAGCAGCUGGGAAAGGUACCAGUGCCUUGCCUAAGGCUGGUACUAGCUGUGAGCCGCAGCAGCACUGACGCUGGUGCACUUUUAUGUGUUCAUUUUCUACUUGGAGGCUGUGAGGGAAGGAGCUGCUGGACUGCUUCCCUUUUAACUUUCACUCUACUCCUGUAUAUUCCUUUUUCUUUCGUGAUGUUGUAAUUUAAAUUUUACAGAGAGCCCCAUCCCACCUCUUAGACAGUACAGAUUAAAAAAAGGCAAACAAAAAGCAAUCCCCAAAAAACCCACCAAAUUUAAAGUGAAAAACGUGCCAUUUGAGGCAGGGCACCUGUUGGCACUCAAAAUUCUGGAGACCUAUUUUUGAGAUGUGAAAAAUUUAGGUAAAUGCUGAGUAAUAGGUGAGUGAGGAGCUUAACAGAUGUAAACAUUUACAUGGGAUGCAUUAGACUUCUGCUGUGUGUAUUGUCUUUUGGUUGAAACAAAUUAUGAAGUGACUAAUAAAAUGAGUCAAUAUUCAAUGAUUUAAAA